AUCCUACGGGAGGCAGCAGUGGGGAAUAUUGCACAAUGGGGGAAACCCUGAUGGAGCAACGCCGCGUGAAGGAAGACGGUUUUCGGAUUGUAAACUUCUGUUCUUAGAGAAGAAAAAUGACGGUAGCUAAGGAGCAAGCCACGGCUAACUACGUGCCAGCAGCCACGGUAAUACGUAGGUGGCAAGCGUUGUCCGGACUUACUGGGUGUAAAGGGAGCGCAGGCGGGAAGCCAAGUCAGCUGGAAAAACUGCGG
Molecule: ribosomal RNA, 254 nt
Filed under: uncultured bacterium
Lineage: Bacteria
Description: partial 16S ribosomal RNA
Rfam family: Bacterial small subunit ribosomal RNA
Source: RNAcentral